Molecule: ribosomal RNA, 644 nt
Filed under: uncultured bacterium
Lineage: Bacteria
Description: bacterial SSU rRNA
Rfam family: Bacterial small subunit ribosomal RNA
Source: RNAcentral
CGGCAGCACGAGAGCUUGCUCUUGGUGGCGAGUGGCGGACGGGUGAGUAACGCGUAGGAAUCUACCCAGUAGCGGGGGAUAGCCCGGGGAAACUCGGAUUAAUACCGCAUACGCCCCACGGGGGAAAGGCCGGGAUCUUCGGACCGGUCACUAUUGGAGGAGCCUGCGUAGGAUUAGCUAGUUGGUGAGGUAAAGGCUCACCAAGGCGACGAUCCUUAGCUGUUCUGAGAGGAAGAUCAGCCACACUGGAACUGAGACACGGUCCAGACUCCUACGGGAGGCAGCAGUAGGGAAUAUUGCGCAAUGGGCGAAAGCCUGACGCAGCCAUGCCGCGUGUGUGAAGAAGGCCUUAGGGUUGUAAAGCACUUUCAGUAGGGAGGAAUUAGUGGAGUUAAUAGCUCUGCGAAAUGACGUUACCUACAGAAGAAGUACCGGCUAACUCCGUGCCAGCAGCCGCGGUAAUACGGAGGGUACAAACGUUAAUCGGAAUUACUGGGCGUAAAGCGCGCGUAGGUGGUUCGUUAAGUGGGAUGUGAAAGCCCUGGGCUUAACCUAGGAAUUGCAUUCCAAACUGACGAACUAGAGUACGAUAGAGGGGGGUAGAAUUCAGAGUGUAGCGGUGAAAUGCGUAGAUAUUCUGAGGA